Molecule: non-coding RNA, 1599 nt
Organism: Rattus norvegicus (Norway rat)
Lineage: Eukaryota; Metazoa; Chordata; Mammalia; Rodentia; Muridae
Source: RefSeq, a predicted model, not a curated record
AUAAUCUCACAGGUCACAAGCAGAAGGUAAAGAAAUGCAUAGCCGCCAGUCCCUCCUACUUGCUCUCUCCCCCCUCGGUAUGGACCAUAUGGUAUAUUCCUGAAAGCCCAAUGGUGUAGGAGAGGAACGAGGUGAUUGGCUGGGAAUCUUGGAAGGGGAGAGAAGCUACACAAAAGGGCCAACGGGAUAACACCAGGGGCAUAUCAAAGCCGGCCAGACCCGCGACGGGAGGACAUCCUUAAAGGGGACUUGUUUGUUGCCCUCAGAAGCUGCCACAAAAACAAAGCUAGAAUUUUCUUCCUGAUCUUAUCCAGAUGAGACAAAGUAGGGAAGUCUCCGACUUAGGGGGUAGUAGCUAUCGAAAACUUCUGAGAAUUGGGUCUAUAUGUCCAUGUGACUUUGAAUGGAUAACUCCAACUCUCUGCCUCAGUUUCCUUUUUCAAUCCGAUGAGGUUAUUAGACCACGCUUGACCUCUAGAAAGCCUUCCUCGUCUUUUUCGAGAGAUUAAUCUCUUCAGUUCCGGGCAUCUUAAGGAACUGUGGUUGAAAGCAGGGUGUGGAGAUCAUCCUACGUCUGCGUCUCCCAGAGUCAGAAGAAGCCUCAGUUAAUUUCUUCACUGAACUGCCGGACUGUGCAGGAUUCCAGUCUUCAACAAAUCCCACGGGCUGAAUAAGUCUGUUCCUGGCUGAAGUCUGUACAAACCACUCAACUAUGCAGGGGUCCCCUUGCUUUUUGUUUUUUGGUUUUUGUUUUUUGUUUUUUUUUCCCCUUCAGUCACCUUCCAUGUCUAGCUGAAGAUCAACAAACGUCUCUAAAGGCCUGGUCAUCUUCCCCUUAGUCCAGGAAGCCAGACUGGUUCAGACAAAUUCCACUCCGUUUGCACGGAGUGUUGUGUGGCGCUGGAGGGCACGCGUGAAGGUCAGAGGACAACUUUUAGGAAUCAGUUCUCUCCCGCCACGGGUUCUGGGAAAUCAAAUUCACAGGCCCUCCCUCUACUUUCAGAAAAUUUCAGCUUGCACUCCUUGGCUUCCAAACCGUAAGAUAUUCCGGAUGCUUUUCCUGAGAGUUCCUCUUGUAGCCAGACAACCCAUCUUCCAAGCUAUUGUCCAGGGACACGGAGAAAGUUCGAAUCUGCUAUGGAGCUCUUCUAACCUGUAGCUAUUGACAACGGAGAGCUCCCAUUUCUACCUUGUGCCCCUGUGACCCUAAAUUUCUGUACUUUAUGCCCCUACAUGCACUCCUCUCUGUCCCCAGGAUCCAGCAGCAGCUGCUGUCCGUGCUUAUGAACUGUUAUGAUUUAGAUAAGUAGUGUCCUUCAGAAAGGCUCAUGGGUUUGAUGCUCGGCCCCCAGCUGGCUUGCUAUUUUGGGAGGUGCUGGAAACUUUAGGAGGUGGGGCCUGACGGGCUGAAGUAGGUCAUUAGGAGUUAUCUUGUCCCCUGGCCUCUUCCUGACUGUCCUUCUGCUUCCUAUCCUCCACGAGGUCCGAGGCUUCCUACUGCCAUGCUGUUCCUGCCGGAUUCCUGUUGCUGGGGCCCCAAGUCAACAGAGCCGGGAACCGAAGAUGGAAAUCACGAAUUAAAAGAAUUCCUCCCUUAAA